Molecule: unclassified non-coding RNA, 65 nt
Filed under: Flavobacterium micromati
Lineage: Bacteria; Pseudomonadati; Bacteroidota; Flavobacteriia; Flavobacteriales; Flavobacteriaceae
Description: Flavo-1 RNA
Source: RNAcentral
AUUUAGCCCAGAUUGAAGCGGCAUCCCUCGCUUUUUCGGCAAGGAUAGAGCAUCCCGAAGAAUCG